CGUAAAAGGUCCUCAAUUAGGCUAUCCUCGUAGAGGAAGAGGAGUUUUAUUUACUCACGUUUUAUUACUGUCAAUUAGACAGUUGUAUUGUUUGUAUUUUAGAAAUUUGUAGAUAGAAUAACAAAAUUGUGAAUUUUUUUGCAUAACUUAAAAAGUGAUAAAAAGCAUUGUGAUCCGUUUAAACUGUUAGUCGUUUAGACAGAUAAGAUAAAUCUAUAACAAAUUAAAAUUAGAAAGCGUACAUAGAAAUAUUUUUUGAUUGUUCUCAUGCACAAUAAUUGUGAAGAUACGUCACAGUAUAUUAAUAGGAUUUCAUUCAGUGUUUAUUUGAUUAGUGUUGGAGUUUUUGCAAUGUAAGCGAAAAACUAUAACAAUUGUUUAUAUUUCGGUACACCGUACACCUGAGGUUGUUUUAGUUUUUUAUUUAGGUCAUUUAAUCAUUAGAAUACUUAAUGACACAACUGAAUAAAAAAUACAAUCAUGGAUAAUUCUGAUGAAGAAAGUGAAUUAGAUCCUAGGAUUCAAAUAGAACUAGAAAAACUCAACUCCACUACUGAUGAAAUCAAUAAAUUGGAAAUUGAAUAUGAUGAAGAAAAUAAGACUUUUCGCAUGCUUCUAAAUGAAUGCACACGGCGGCUCAAGUUACUAUCGAAAAAAUUAGGCAACUGUAUAGAAAAAUCUAGACCUUACUAUGAACUCUUAGAGGUUGCAAAAAAGGCUCAACAAGAAUGUCAAGAAGCAGCUCUGUUGUACAAGAAGGCACACGGAAUCCACGCGGCAGCUAAAGAAACUGUAGCUUUGGCAGAGCAGCAAUUUUUAACAAAUCAACACGAAUGGCAGUUCGACAAUGCUUGGCAGGAAAUGCUCAAUCAUGCUACUAUGAAGGUUAUGGAAGCGGAAACUAACAAAGCUGAAUGUGGUCGAGACCAUCAACGAAAAGCCAUAGCAUUCAAAGAAAUAGAAGAAAAAUUAAAAUCCCACGAAGACAAACUACACAAAUUCAUAUUAAAAGCUCGCCCCUACUUCGAUGAAAAGGCACUAUGUCAGGAUCAACUCAACCACCAAAAGCAUCGUAUAGGCGCGCUAAAACAAGAAAUCUUAAAUUCGAAACAAUUUUAUUCUCAAACACUGAAAAACUUAGAACAAAUAUCCAACGAAAUACAUAUGAAGAGGAAGGGAAAGAAACAAGAGUGCGAUAUCUUACGGGGACCUCGAGAGCCAGGUGUCGGAGCAGAACUGACUUCAAAUUUCGAAGAAAUACCGCUCACCAAACAGUACCAAUCACUGCCCGAUAUAACAACGGAACUAGACAAGUACGACACUUGUAGCGCCGUUCCCAGCUCUACCGUUAGUGAAAAGGAUGAAUGCGAAGGCCUAGAUAAUAUCGACGAUAUAGUUAACACAGUAGAUAAGCUACAUUUAGAUAGACCCGUCGAGGGUACGAGCGAAAAAGUAUUUGUGUCAGAAUUUCAUUUGGGGAAAUUGGGAAAUUAGUUAUUACGUGUUUAUUGAAGACUUGAAUCGAUUUGAAAAACCCUUAAUGGCUAAUUUAGUCAACAAAAGACAUUACCUAUAAAGUUAUUGAAAGCAUUUUUCUUGGUAUGAUAAAAUAUUUUUACUAAUUCAAAACAUUCGAAUUCUUUCAAAGAAACAUUCCAAAUUCUCUUUUAUUUCCGUGUGAAUAUAGUUUGCGAUAUAUAUGCUAUAGUACUUCGUAACUUUCAGUAAAAAAUAUUAAAAUAUACUAUGUCAAUGAGUUUAAAAUGGCUGCACAUAAUGGUGCACUUUUUAGAGUAAAACUGCAAGUACACUAAACAACAAAAUUAACGCACCACCUUAAAAAUGGAACAUUUUUGAUGUCUCGAAUUUCCUAAACCUGUUGUCCGAUUUGUGUGUUUUUUUUAGUAUGUUAUAGCUUUAUUCUUCAAGAAUAUCCAUGUAAUAAUAUUGUUGCUAAACAGGUAACUGUCAUUGUAUACCGGGUGUAACAAUGAUAGUGUGAUUUUUCCUCAAAGUUUGGAACACACUGUGGAAUAUUCUAGCCUAUAUAAAAUACUGAAAUUAAAGCUCAACUGUAGCCUUAGGCUUUCUUAAUAUUUUACUUUUUGAUUCAUUCGCUUAGGUUGGAUAAUAAAAAAGUUAGGUACUUUAACAACUAGCAACGUUCUUCAUCAAUACAGGGUGUUUCUAAAUAAGUGCGACAAACUUUAAGGGGUAAUUCUGCAGGAAAAAAUAAUGACGUUUGUUUUAUAAACAUAUGUCCGCAAAUACUUCGUUUCCGAGAUACGAGAUGUUGACUUUUUUCUUACAAUCUGAUGAUUUAUUUAUUGCUCUAGAACCGAUUGAGAUAUGCAAAUGAAAUUUAGUAGGUUUUAAGAAAUAGUUAUUGCGCAUUUUUUGACAUACAAUUAAGAAUUUUAUAUUUACCAUUGGCGUGCAUACGGGUCAUAUCACCCGCAUGCACGCCAAUGGUGAAAAUAAAUUUCUUAAUUGUAUGUCAAAAAAUGCGCAAUAACUACCUCUUAUAGCCUACUAAAUUUCAUUUGCAUAUCUCAAUGCAAAAAUUCAACAUCCCGUAUCUCGGAAACAAAGAAUUUGCGGACAUAAUAUGUUUAUAAAGCAAACGGUCAUUAUUUUUUCAUGCAAAAUUACCCCUUAAAGUUUGUCGCACUUUUUUAGAAACACCCUGUAUUGAUGAAAGUUGGCUAGUUGUUAAAGUACCUAACUUUUUUAUUAUCCAACAUAAGCGAAUGAAUCAAAAAGCAGUAUACAAUGACACUUACCUGUUUAGCAACAAUAUUACUACAUCGAUAUUCUUGAAGAACAAAGCUAUAACAUACUAAAAAAAUCGCUCAAAUCGGACAACAGGUUUAGGAAAUUCGAGAUAUCAAAAAUGUCCCAUUUUUAAGGUGGUGCGUUAAUUUUUCUGCUCAGUGUAGGUAAUGCUCCAAUCGAGCAAAUUAAAUCUUUCAAAUACUUGGGAAUGAUGGUGAAUGACCAAUGGGAUUCUCAACAAGAAAUAAAAUGCCAUACCUAACAAGCAAGACACGCUUUUAUUAAAUUUAAACUGCUACUUUGUAACCGCAAUAUUUCCUUCAUCCUCCGUUACAGAAUGGUUAAGUGCUAGGUAUGGUCCAUAUUGUUAUACGGCAUGGAGACAUGGACGUUGAAAAUAUUUUCCAGUAAAAAGUUGGAGGCCUUCGAAAUGUGGACCUUGCGAAAUAUAUUCCGCAUACCAUGGACAUAUAGGGUGAGAAACGAGGAAGUUUUAAGAACAGCAAAUACUAAGAGAGAAUUAAUCAACGUGCGAAAAAUUAAUACCUGGGCGAAGAUAAUCCUGAGAGGGGAAAAAUGCGCAAUCCCUCAGGACACGCGCCAACUCGUAACUUUUAAUGACAACCAUUUUCAGAUUAACAUGUACACCGGCCAAUUCGUAACUUUUCUACUACCUGAACCUGCCAACUCGAAACCGUCUACAGGUGAAUUCGAAACCAUGGAUUAAAUCUAAUACCUCAGGUAGUUAGGUUAAAACGUAUGAAACAAAUUUAAAGCCAACACGGGGCCUAUCGCAAAUGUAUCUAUCUAUCUAAUCAGCCCUAAACAUCCAUCCUUGGAUAUAGGCCUCCUCUUCCUUCUUCCAUGCCUCUCUAUCUUGGGCAAUUUGCAUCCAUUUUGACCCAGUGUGUUUCUUCAGGUCAUCUGACCAUCGCAUCUGUGGCCUUCCCCUUUUUCGUUUGUGGUUCCAUGGUCUCCAUUGUAUUAUCAUCUUAGUCCAUCUUUCAUCCUUCUGCCGUAGGGUGUGUCCGGCGAACUUCCAUUUAAGCUUUGCUACUUGGGUAGAGACUGUAGAUACGCAAAUGUAUAUCUUUCAUUAAUGUUUAUUGAUAAGCAAAGUCCCAAUUCUAUUUUACUUCAACUCAUUUUAAAGCUAUUUCAAUAAACUAAUCGGUUUUUUUCAGUUUUUUGGUAAAAUGUCGUAACUUAUAGACAAAAAUUCUUAAAAUCGGCUAUUUUCAUUUAAAUUGUCAAUAAAUAAAUAAAUUGAUAAAAAAUUGGUCAGAUUUACAUAUAUGUUGUUAUUCUAUCCAUAUAGAAAUUAAAACAAUUGUUACAUAAUGUAGUAGUUACACUGAGUGUCAUAAAAACCGUGUAUUGUUACUCAUUUCUUUAGGCUAUGUCACGUAAUAUCGAGAUUCGAGAGUUUUAUUUUUACAUAGGGUAUUAAUGUUUAACUAACUUAAUUUAUAGUUUUAUAAGCAACAAUUAAGUAUAGCAAGAUUUAUAAAACCAUGUUUAAAUUAUUUUACAUGCACUAUAAUGCGUUUAUCUUAAAUUUUGUUUUAAAUGCUUUUCUUCUGACUGGCAGACAGUAAAUAGCAAAAAUUAGCAUUUUUGACAUCAAAUUUUUGAUAACCAACAUAAGUGUUUGUUACUACUCAAAAUAUUAAAAAAAAACUUACCGUCGGUAUAACAAUGUUUUCCACUUUUUAGCACUUUCUUUAAGUGAAAUUUAAAAUUAUUUACCACCAAUAACUUAUACCCACGUUCACUCAUUACGAAAUCUGUUACAAGAAUUUCAGCCAUUUUCAGAAAAUUUAUUUGGAUUUUCUCUAGUAACUCUUCCAAAAGACAAUACAUAAAUGAUGAAUACCUUUUACACCACUUUAAAGAGGGUAAUUUAUACAGGUACAUACCUGGAAUAACGGUAUUAGAUUACCAACAUUACUUAAAAAAUGAAAGUUACAAAUUCACCGGUAGUUAGUGGGUUAUCGAAAAAUUACUGCGCGCCAGAGUUACCAGUUUGCCUGUUAUUAGGAUGGGGGAUUAAAAUAGUUACGAAUUCACAGGGACCCAUCCCUCAACUAAUCAUCCAAGGAAAGAUUGAGGGCAAGAGGGGAGUAGGUCGCAAACAAAUAUCGUGGCUACGGAGUAUAAAGAACUGGACAGGCAUAAAUAACACUGGCAUGCGCAUGUGGCAUGCCACAAAAGACAGACGUCUGACCUUAAGAUAAUUCGCCAACGCGCACUAUAAUACGAAGAAGCACCAAAAUGGUAGUGUAAUAACAUGUGAAUUAUGUAAGGAAGCUAGAAUUACGAAGCUCUAUCAAGCGCUAAAAAUAAACAUUCUUUUAAUUUGUAAAUAAAAGUCUCGAAAAAUGCUACCACAAAUCAAGCAGUUUCUGAUGAUGAAGUUUAUUAGACAAGAGAAACUUUUACCAGAAUGAGCGAGUUAAAUUCAUUCUACUGCUUAAUGCUGAUUGCAUAGCUAAGAAACCUUUCGCCGAGAGUCUCCUCUCCUAGAUAGCCUUAUCCUUAUGGUAACCUUGGUAAAUGGAGUGACUGCUAUAGUUGUUGAAAUACGGAAAAGGGCAACAACUUUUUUCACUUUUAUUUCUAUGUGUGUGUAUAGCUGUGUCUCGUCUCGUGGCAGUAAUGUUAAACACUAAGCUGUCUUGUAAAAUUCAAAAAGUGAAAUGUCAACUAAUCUGACUAAAUGAUUUAUUACCAACUAUUUCGUAAUUAGCCUUGGUUGUGGGAUAUUAUAACUUUGAACAUUUCAAAGGCGAUGUAGCAACGGUCAGAGUUGUCUUCUGGACGACAACUAAUAAUAAUUUCUGACCAUAGCCUAUAAGUUUGCAAGCCAAUGAAAAACUAAGCUACUUUUACCCGACCGCUUCUUUACGAUUAUGGUUGUCAUAAAUAACUGCCAUAAUUGGACGGGAUUCUGCAGAAAGGAACCAAACCACAAAUAUGUAUUUUUCCUAUUAACAGUCACAUAGGUUGUAAAAUACUCCGUAGAUAGAUACUUAUGCAGAAAAUAACCAAGUCACUUACGAUAUACAUCGUCCUCUAUGAGCGAAAGAACCAACCAACAUUAUCGUUGCAGCGUGACAGCGUACUGUAGAAAAGAUCCAUAUGUGGGUUGGUUCCUUUAUGCAAAUUCAUUUAAGUUAUUUUGCAGAAGGGAACCAAGCUACAAAAGUGGAUUUUUUUUAAAACAACUGUUUUCUUGAAUUCACGGGACUUCCAGAACAAAUUAUUAAAUGCCAGUAAUUUCAUAUUAAGAUUUUUUGUAGAUUAUACGCCUGAUUAUGUAACUCAAUAAUGGAAAAUAAAUGUUUGUUAACUUUGAAUUCACUUAAUUGUUUUGCAGAAGGGAACCAAGCCACAAAAGUGUAUUUUUUUUUGUAAACAACUGUUUUCUUGAAUCAAACAGUAUGUGUUAAAUCAAAUCUAUUGGCAUCUCGUCCUAAGCAAUACGCCCUCUGGAGGAUAUUGCAGUAACCGAGCUAAGGGGCCAUUGUUUAUUUUCUUUCACGUUGACGGUUGAAGGCAUGGCAUCCGGCAUAUUGUUUAGGUUGGGAGAAUUUGUUUGUUUAUGGUUUAAUCACGUUUAAUUGUUGCUGUAUAUUACUCGUUUGUUGUUAUUUAUUUUGUUUGUUGUUACGUUAUUUGUUGUUUCGCGUUAAAGGUUAAUUGUGUUUGUACAAAAUAUAAUUAAAUUUAAAAGAAAAACACAGAUAAACGAACAAAACUAAAAGACAAAACUAAACAUACAACCAAAUACAACAUACAAUAUGUAAACAAUGGAACGCGGCGUCGGUAGUUUCUCCACUGUCAUCAAUACGACUAACUUCACACUUCACAAUGGCCCCUUAGCUCGGUUCAAUUUGAUACCACAUUGGCGCUGCGAUCUUAAUCCGAAUCGCCAAUUGCAUAUAUUGACGAUUUUAAUGUUAAACCAUGAUUAUUUUUAAUAGAGAAUUUUAAAUGUUAUCGUAAAGUUUUUGGCUAAUAUCUCAGUUUUAACAAAGUGUGGUUUGGAUCCUUUCUGCAGAAUCCCGUCCAAUUUGGACUGGAGAAAAAAAUAUGCCAUAAUUUGCAUUGCAGUCAACAGUGUUGAUCUGUGUUGCAAUUUUUAAAAUCACAGUAUAGUUCACUAGAAUCAUAUAAAAUCACUGUAGGGAGAAUUUGUAUAAUGAAUAGACAAGGGAAGCUGAAAUGACGAGAUUGUCACUAAUUAGGUAUUUUCCUUUGUUUUCUGGUGUAGCACUAGUUCUAAUAAAGUGUAGAAGUGCUACACUAAGUCGUUCCUUUACAAGGUGUAGUGGUACACCAAUCUUUUCCAUUGAAAAGUGAAGCAAAAAACACAUGUGUAGAUAAAUCUACACCUGCUUGUGAAAGGGUGACUACCUGCAGUCGUCUUGCGCAGUAUCGUCCAACCAGUUUGACAACUGUUUAGCUGUUUGUAGUCUGACAACUGUGUUUGUUUACAAAAACAAUAUAUUUUUAGUUAAAUUUAAACUGAGAGACAAGCUUUUAGUAAUUUUAAAACCAAAGUACCUACAAAUUUUAAUCUAAUUAUACAAUUGUACUAAACUUACGUGCAUAGAAAUCGGCCCACUUAAAAAUUUGGUCAUUUUUGAUGUCUCAUAUUUCCUAAACCUGUUGGCCGAUUUAAGUGAUUUUUUGAACAUGUUAUAACGUGAUUCUUUAACAAUACCACUGUAAUAAUAUUGUUGCUAAACAGGUAAAUUUUUAUUGUACAUCGGGUGUACCAAUCAAACUGUGUUUUUUUCUGAAAGUUCGCAUCACCCUGUGGAAUAUUCUAGCAUUUAUAAAAUACUGAAAUUAAAACCCAACAUUGGCCUCAGGUUUUCUUAACAUUUUGUUUUUUGAUUCAUUCCUUUAUGUUGGAUAAUAAAAAAGUUAGGUACUUUAACAACUAGACAUGUUCUUCAUCAAUACACGGUGUUUCUAAAUAAGUGCGACAAACUUUAAGAGGUAAUUCUGCAUGAAAAAAUAAUGACAGUUGGCUUUAUUUACGUAUGUCCGCAAAUGUUUCGUUUCCGAGAUACGGGAUGUUGAAUUUAUUCUUACAAAAUGACGAUUUAUUGUAUUGCUUUAAAACUGGUUGAGAUAUGCCAAUGAAAUUUAGUGAGAUUUAAGGCGUAGUUAUUGCACAUUUUUUGACAUACAAUUAAGAAUUUAAUAUUCACGACUAGCGCGCGCAUACGUGUAAUAUGACCGAUCAUAUUACCCGUAUGCACGCUAGUGGUGAAUAUAAAAUUCUUAAUUUUAUGUCAAAAAAUUCGCCAUAACUGUCUCUUAAAACCUACCAAAUUUCAUUUGCAUAUCUAAACUGGUUUUAAAGCAAUAAAUGAAUCAUCAGUUUGUAAGAAAAAAUUCAACAUCCCGUACCUCGGGAACGAAACAUUUGCGGACAUACGUUUAUAAAGCCAACUGUCAUUAUUUUUUCAUGCAGAAUUACCCCUUGAAGUUUGUCGCACUUAUUUAAAAACACGGUGUACUGAUGAAGAACAUGUCUAGUAUUAUCCAACAUAAACGAAUGAAUCAAAAAACAAAAUGUUAAGAAAACCUGAGGCUAUAGUUGGGUUUUAAUUUCAGUAUUUUAUAAAUGCUAGAAUAUUCCACAGGGUGAUGCGAACUUUCAGAAGAAAACACAGUUUGAUUGGUACACCCACUAUACAAUGAAAAGUUACCUGUUUACCAACAAUAUUAUUACAGUGGUAUUGUUAAAGAAUCAGGCUAUAACAGGUUCAAAAAAUCACUUAAAUCAGCCAACAGGUUUAGGAAAUAUGAGACAUAAAAAAUGACCAAAUUUUUAAGUGGUCCGAUUUCUAUGCACGUAAAUUUAUUAUAAAAAUGUUUGAAAUCGAUACCUAUCCAAUUAUAAUAAAAAUGUAUUUAAAUUAAAGAAGGAAAAUAGAAAGUAUAAGUAAACAAAACACAAAAAGAAUCUAAAGAUAAACAAGUAAUAAAAUAACCUGACUUGUUAUAACUGCAACUCAAAGGUUAACUUCACGAGAACGCUCCUUUGCUUAGUGACAGCCAUGAUUUUCGUUUGACACUAGCCAGUGUAGCCUGCACUCAACUACACUCGAAAGUGUUACAAAAUGUUACAUUUAUACUCUUGUGUUCAAAAUUUUAAAUGAAACAAAAACCGAAUCGAUUGAAGUCUUCUUGAAUACGCAGGGAAUCGCAGAGGUUUCAAUAUUUGUACCUUAUUAUUUUAAGUAUAUUGAGUAUAACUCACCUGUUAAUAUUCAGAUGUUUUAACACUAAUACAUUUUAUUAAGAUAUUAAUUGCAUUUAAAAUGUAUAACACUAGAAACUUGCCAUUUUCAAGAAUUUCAUUGGAACGUUUAUAGAUAACUAAAAGAGGAUAUAUGCAUAUACAUUUUAAAGGAGAUGGUUUCAAAAUGAUAUUGUCAUUAUUUUUGAGUUGCGUUCCUGGGAGGACUUUAUUGGAAGAUAGUUAAUAUUUUGUAAAUUGAUAUCUGAGGACAGUAAUAAGUACAUUUUCUUUCCCAUUAGGAUCCAUCAGUUAUCGCUAUUUUAUAUUUGCCGAGACGGAAGAAAACUAUUGGAUCAAAAAUAUUUUUUUGUUUAUUUAUAAAAUUAAUCUUAUAAAAACUAUGGAAACUAGAGUAAUUUUGAUAGUGGAUUUAGCAUCUACGAAAAAAAUUCGUCUCUAAACGGUAUGUAAUAUUUUUCUUCAUAAAAUUUAAAUUUUUAAAACUCAAGUAGCUCUAUAUUUUACGAGUUACUUAUUCCGACUCAAAAACCUUUGUAAAAAUUAAUAUAUUAUUAAUUUAUUAUUUUUCCCUGUAUUAACAAGUAGUGAUGAAGAGGAACAAAUUAUUACUUAAAUUAAAUUAUAGCGUACAGUUCAAAAAACUUAUAAAAAUGAAUCUCACUGUAAUGAAACACUUAAAGUCUUGUAAAAGUCUUCUUUUAGUUUUCUAUAAAAAUAUUCUAUUUUGUUUGCAUAUAUUUGAGGUUGAAAGAAUUUAAAAGACAUUUUAUAUAUUUAUUAUUUUUAAGAAUAUUUUUUCGUUAAUAAAUAUGAAAAUACGAAACAUUACUUAAAUACUGCCGUAUAUGUCUCACUAAUCAUUGUAUUAAGUAAUUUUUCAAUUUUUUUACACUGUAACAGAGAGUUAAAAUGUAUUUACAUAAGAUUAUUGCAUUUUAGGUAUGUUUGACUUUUGCCUGUUAUUAUAAGAAUAGGCAUUCGAUAAUUUAUUUUUUAUAAUUUUUAGUAUCUUUUAAUAUAACAAUGUGAAACAAAUCCUAUUUCAAAUUGUGUAUCAAUUUUUCUAUUCGGUAUAUGAGAGCGGUCCUUUAAAUAAUUAGCCUUCAAGAAAAGCGUUUGACCCAGCGUUGCUUUUGACUUCUUUAACAUGUCAAAUAAAUACGUUAAUGUCCGACUGGUAUAUUAUUUGACAAAUAUUGACAUGAUUUCGAAGUCAGUUAAAUAUGAUAUAAUGCCGAUAGGGCUUUAUUUUGAAAAAUAACGCCCUUGGGCAGGCGCGGAUCUAGAAAUUCAUAAUGGUGGGGGCCAGACUUACCUCAAAUAUAUUAUAUUUUCCAGAUUUAGCCAUACGACUCACACUUACUCUAAGGAGAAAAUACACUAUAUAAUCCCAGAUACCUACGGUAUCAAAAAUAUUGAUACACAAUUCACGACUAUUAAUCUCACUUGUCGUUCUUUACCAUAAAUAUUAACCUUUCUACCAUCAAUGGGUAGGUACGCAUGGAUUAUCUAGUAAAAUACAAAUUUUUUUAUCUUUAUUGUAUCGCAAAUUUGAAACGUGACUUUUCAUGAGAUAAGGUUUAUACGCAGUGUAAUGUAUUUGCAUUUUAAAAUAUCAUUUUUGUUAUUCUUUGAAUUGAGAAAAAUAUUUCCGUUGUUUAUGGUUCCACCGGUAUCCAAACAAAUGCGCCUGCAGAUUAUUUUCCAGAUAAGGGUGUUUUAUUAGAUUUUAUGGCUUGUUUUAUUUCUUUGGAAGCGGUUGUCGUGUAAUUUAGUACUGAUGGCUUAAAGUUUAGAGUUAACAGAAAAAAAAAUAAAUAAUAAAAAAUACUUAUAGACUAAAUACAAUAGGGGGUCCAUGGACCCGUUGACCCCCCCUGUAUCCGCGCCUGCCCUUGGGCGUUAUAUUUAAAUAACUAGUUAAAUGCUGUCAAGUUGACAAAUAAAAACCUAAGUAAAACUAUGGUUACCGCAAUUACGUUACGACUAUUGCUGCUAAAUGUACUUAUUUGAAAACUAAUUCAUUCAAAUUUUUUGCAUAUAAAGAAGAAUUUAGUCGGACAUUAAACGUUGAAGGCACCACGGGUAUUAUAGAUAAUAACGCUUUCGAUCAACGUAUAUACCGGUCAACGGUAUAUACACCGUUGACCUCAAGCGUUAUUAUCCUUAUAAUACCCUUGGUACUUUAAUAACUAUUUGUCGAGGUCUGUAAAGCAGGUCUCCGUGGUGGUGAUAGCCUCCUCAUUCGACUCAAAUUUCUGCCCGGUGAGUGACUUUUUCAAGUUUGAAAACAAAAUGAAGUCGCAUGGGGUCAAAUCUGGAGAAUACGGUGCAUGGGGCAGCAUUUCGUGGCUCAAUUUGGCCAUGGAGGCGGCGUAGGUUUGAACAGGCGUGUAUACCUCACAUAUUUCAAUGGUAAAUUAAUACAUAAAACACAUGCGUACCUACGAAUUCUGCUUCAAAAAUAUCCGGCCUUCAUUCUACCUUCGCAAUAUUAUUCUUUAUGAUACAGCUCAUGGUACCUUUCGAAGUAAUCUCCAUUCGACAUGUUGAUGCUUGAACGUUGCCUUUUAAGUGGCAUUUUCAGUUUUGAAAACACGAAAAAGUCACAUGAUGCUAUGUUGGAUUGCAUGGAAACUGUCGGAAUUAUGUAACUUUAUAUUUUCGAAAAACGUUUACACAAGUUUCAUGACUAUGCUUGCUUACUAUCAGGAUGACGAGUCAACACUCGACCAACAAUGGGGCCGAUUUCUUCUCACUGUGCCACGUAAUAUUUUUAUAACUUAGGGGAGAGUCGGCUAUUGGUGCGCACCUAAGGCUAAUUCAGGAUAUUUCACAAACUUGAAACAUUUCAGUUUCCAAAUUUCUUUAAGAUAUACUUCAAAGGCUUAGGUAUAUUGGUAGUGACCUCACUUAAUGAAUGGUUGAACAGUAGAAGAGUGAGAGGCGAAAUUUCCAAUUAGUGUAAUGCGCACAAUUACCCAACCUAUUCGGCUAAUGGUGCGCAUAUGUCGGAUAACUGUGCGCAAUAAUUGAACUUAAAAAUUACCUUCGAAUACAGUUGAGUCCGCGAGUCUUUACCCGUGCGUCAUUAAUACCUGGCGAGAUAAAACACAUACUUUUUAUCUAGCAUCAUUCUCUUCCACGCAUGAAACUCAUGACAAACCAGCUGCCGUUUGUUAUUAAGUUAAAACACAUGUUAUUUUUGUGAACCAUCUAGACUCAGUGCAUUGAAAAGAGAUAGGUACAAAAAAAGACGAUUCGGUAUGUUUUCAUAUUUUAAGCACAAUUUGUUUGACGUUUCUGCUUUGUUUACUUUUUGGGGCUGUCAGUCAGUUGAAUUUUUUGCAGUUUUUGUUGAAUUUUUGCGUUUUGAAGUUUCUUUAUACACAAACAGUUGUUUUCACAACUAAUUUUAUAUUGGACAUUCAAAUUUUAAGGUAGGUAAUUAUAUUUUGGCAAUUAAUAUUUAAAACAUACAAAGCUAACGUCAUUCACACAGUAAAGAAGUGAUUGUGUUUAGGUUUCCGUCAAAGUAAAUAAAAUGACAAUUAAUUAGUUAGUAGUUAUAAAAUAUAAUAUUAUUUCCUAUAAAACUCUUUUAAAAAUUGUACUUUGAUUUUACCAGUGGCUAAAAUCCUUCUUGUCCUUAAUCAAUGGCAUUACUUUUGUUUAUCGUUGACACUCAACAUAUUGCAAAAUACUUUCAAAUAAAUAAUAAAAAAAAAGAUUGUUGUAUAUUUAAUUUUAUUUUUUAUAAAUUGUUUAUUUAUUAAUCACUAAUGAUAUUAAAAGAAUUUAUUAAUGUACUUCAAAUGUAGCUGCAAUUUUGCCCAAAAUUUUGAAGCAAAACUUACAUUUGAUAUUCUGUUUAUUUGAUAACGUUAAAUUUUAUAGUAAAACCCGCAAUCGGAACAGUAGCCACUUUCUGUCACUUGUUGUUGCGUGAAAUAGAUUUUCGACUUAUUUCGUAUGCUUUAAAUGAUGACGCACGGGUAAAGACUCGCGGACUCAACUGUAUGUAUCUUAUUGAAUAUAAACAUUAAAGGGACAAACAAAUAUACGGAAAACGAUAAGAAACCAAGUUACAGAUAUUUAAAAAAUAUAUAAGUACAGUAGAACGUCAAUAAUCCGGAUUAAUUGGGACCGGACCCCAUCCGGAUUAUCAAAUUAUCCGGAAUAUCGAAAUUACCUAAAAAAAAGCCAGUAUACACAUUAAAGUACAACAAACGUUUUAAAAUUGUAUGUUUUCUCUUGUACAGUAAAGUGUCUAAAAAUAGAAGUGAAAUUAAUCAAAACACUUUUUUUAUGUUUAAACACUGUAUUGUAAUUAAUUUAUAAUAGCAGCAUGUGUACAGUAAAAAACAUCAGACAUUAUUUAGGCUUUUAAAAAAUGUGUAAAAUAUUUUUGAACUGCGGUAGAGGUUCGUUUUUCGCACCUAAGUUCUUAAUUUAUUUUAAAGGAAUCAGAUAUUUUUGCUAGAUACAAAUCCGGAUUAUUGACGGUCCGGAUUUUUGACGUCCGGAUUAUCGACGUUCUACUGUAUUGCAGAAGUCACAAAUAUAUCCUUCUGAACUAUCCUGUCGUAUACACAUGGCAUGAGACCAUUGACAAUAUAUCGAACACUUCACCAUACUUCGUCUUUUUUGCUACCAUCACCGCAAUACACAGAAGUCAUUUUGAUCUUACACGAGAUCGUCCAACUCAUCAUCAUGGCACAGUUCACUUUCUGAAAUAAUUUUGGAGCUGUUGUGUUCAAAAAUUUUCCUUUUUGUACUUUUUUUCAAUUUCGUGAUUUUCUCUUUGCCCCUUUCUCUACUUUGACGGUUGUUUACGCUUGUUUACGUUUUAUGGCGCAGUCACAAAACGUAAAAAAUGCCUAUAUACCUUGCCGGCUAAUGGUGCGCAAUGCGCAAUAUCAUACUAAUAUGAUAUCAUACUAAGCGAAAACAUGUAAACCAUAACUGCCAACCGGUAAAGUAUCUCCCGACGUUCGUUUGUGUCGGAUAGAUACGGCAGUUGCUACUAGAUGACCCGACAAUAUAGUUUUUACAAUUUUAUAAAUAGGAGAUUAGAAACAUUGAUGCGCACAAUUACCCGAUGCGCACAAUUAGCCGACUCUCCCCUACUUUUACUUUUGGAAUCGAUAUUUUUCGGUGUUUUCCUGAUAUGUUGACGAGAACGCUUGUCACUGUCAACAGACGUGGGACCAUUUUUAAACUGAUUGAAUAAUUCUUUUAUGUAUAUUUUGCUCAUACAAUCAUAUUCAAAUAACUUUUGCAUUUUUAAGUUCAAAUCAAAACUUAAUGAAAAUUCGUUGAUCUCCGUCAUUUUUUGACACCAUCAAAAUAUGACGAACUCAAAAUAGGAAAUGUAAACAACACUUUCUUUAGAAUGUGGAAAGUUCGUGAAGAGUUUGGUAUUGAUUAUGAUGAUUAUUGAUUAUGGAUGAAUUAAGGUAUUAAUUACCUUGGUACCUUACAGAUGGCGCUGUUAUGUUUUGGCGGGAAGUUAUGAACGGAGGUUUGGAGUUAUGUCUUCUUCCUCUUUAUAAGCAAUUCUGCUUGUUCAUUGGCGGAUUGAUACCUCUGUGGAAGGUUGUCACUCCAUCUAUUGCGCAGUCGGUCGAUACUUCUACCGAUUGGUGAUUUAUCUCUUGCUAUUUUGACCACACGUGUCUCCCCCAUUCUUCUUAUGUGGUUAUUCCAUUCUUUUUUUUUUUCUUAUUCAGUGUCCAUUUGUUUAUACACCGUAGGUUACAUUUUCUUCUGUCUUCACUCCUCUCUCGGUGUAUUUCCUUUAAUUCUUCUUAUAACUCUCAUCUCUGCCGUUUCCGAUAGUCUUUGUAUUGUGGCUGAAUCUCUUGUUUCUGAUGCAUAUUGAUAUUAUUGGUCUUACACUGGCUUUAUAAAUUCUUGACUUCAUCUGUCGGUUUCGCCUUAUAGUGUUAUUAAGGCAUCCUGUCAGUGUAUUUACUUUUUGUACUUGAUUUCUCACUUCUUUGUCCAGGUCUCCGUAGCUGCACAAUGUAAUUCCAAGGUAUUUUAUUGCCAUUACUUGUUGAGUACUCAUGCCAUCAAUUUGUAUUUUACAUCUUAUUAGUUCUGUACUGAUUACUAUUGUUUUAAUUUUCUUAGGAGUUAUGUGAUUAAUAUAAUUUUAACUCUCUAUGUCGGUGUCCAUAUAGUUUAACAUACAUAUACAGUCGAACUCGCAUAUUGGAUUAGCCUUCGUGCCAAGCAAAAGUAUUCCUGUAAGCGGGAUAUUCUAAUAACCGAUCAUCGGUGGCUAGUAGAAACGUUUUGGGACCUCAAAUUUCUAAUCUUUAAGCGGGGAUAUUUCUAUAACUGCUAUUCUGAAAGCGGGUUCGACUGUAUACAAUACGACGCUCAGGUAGGUUUAGAUGUAAAAACGUUUUAACGUAUUUGCGUCUUUUUCGUAGUAUAAUUUUAUUUAACACUGCAUUUAGUAGUACAAAAGCCUUUGUUAAUACAAAAAUGUCACAUUUGCUUAUUGUUUGUUUUUAGAUUAUAGCUACAGUCAUGUAAAAAAAUAUAACAACACUGUCUUGAUUUUCUACAGAUUAUAGCUAACUUGGGAAAAUUAAUUAGUCAGUCAGACAGCCGUUAAUUUUCACUUGACUUAUGUUUGACAACAAAUGUUGAUUUCUUUUGUUAGGUAUAUCACAAUUUGAACUUUGUAAAUCUGGUCAACUGUGCACUUAUUGAGCUAAUUAACAUAAUAUAAUUUUUUUGAAGCUGGUGUGAUAUUUUUGUCUUAAUAAAUUAUAUAUGAACUGUAAAUCUGGUGGUUUUAUGUGGAAAAGCAUCUGUGCUUACUAUUGCAAUAUGUAAAAUUUCACUGUGGUACGUACUAUCUAUAUAAUGUUAGAAACGUUUGUUAAUCUACUGUCAAAUGUAUUAUUUUUAAUUUUCUGUUAGUACAAAUAUUGUAGAUUGUUAAGGAGGAGCACAGCAAAAUCUAUUAAAUGAACGUAAUAAAUUAUCA
This 16070-nucleotide unclassified non-coding RNA is filed under the name Diabrotica virgifera virgifera (western corn rootworm). RNAcentral's name for it is "sH3 domain-binding protein 5 homolog". The record is from RNAcentral. Lineage: Eukaryota; Metazoa; Arthropoda; Insecta; Coleoptera; Chrysomelidae.